This 478-nucleotide ribosomal RNA is filed under the name uncultured bacterium. Its description in RNAcentral is "partial 16S ribosomal RNA". It matches the Rfam family "Bacterial small subunit ribosomal RNA", at positions 28 to 507 of the family's 1533-position model. The record is from RNAcentral.
GAUGAACGCUGGCGGCGUGCUUAACACAUGCAAGUCGAACGGGAAUUAUUUUAUUGAAACUUCGUUCGAUAUGAGUUAAUUCUAGUGGCGGACGGUUGAUUAACGCCUGGUUAACCUGCCUUGUACAGGGGGAUAACAUUCAGAAAUGGCUGCUAAUACCGCAUAAGCGCACAGAGCUGCAUGUCUCCGUUUGAAAAACUACGUUGGCAUAGGAUGGACCCGCGUUGCAUUGGAUUGUUGGCAGGGUAACGGCCUACCAAGGCGAGGAUCCAUAGCCGGCAUGAGAGGGUGGACGGCGACACUGGGACUGAGACACGGCGCAGACUCCUACGGGAGGCAGGAGUGGGGAAUCUUGCACAAUGGGGGAAACCCUGAUGCAGCGACGGCGCGUGAACGAAGAAGUAUCUCGGUAUGUAAACUUCUAUAAGCAGGGAAGAGAUUGACGGUACCUGAAUAAGAAGCCCCGGCUAACUACGUG